RNAcentral lists this ribosomal RNA (435 nucleotides) under uncultured bacterium. RNAcentral's name for it is "partial 16S ribosomal RNA". It matches the Rfam family "Bacterial small subunit ribosomal RNA", at positions 29 to 507 of the family's 1533-position model. The record is from RNAcentral.
AGCGAACGCUGGCGGCAGGCUUAACACAUGCAAGUUGAGCGGGCACUUUCGGGUGUCAGCGGCGGACGGGUGAGUAACGCGUGGGAACGUGCCCUCUGGUUCGGAAUAACUCAGGGAAACUUGAGCUAAUACCGGAUACGCCCUUUUGGGGAAAGGCUUGCUGCCGGAGGAUCGGCCCGCGUCUGAUUAGCUAGUUGGUGAGGUAACGGCUCACCAAGGCGACGAUCAGUAGCUGGUCUGAGAGGAUGAUCAGCCACACUGGGACUGAGACACGGCCCAGACUCCUACGGGAGGCAGCAGUGGGGAAUAUUGGACAAUGGGCGCAAGCCUGAUCCAGCCAUGCCGCGUGAGUGAUGAAGGCCUUAGGGUUGUAAAGCUCUUUUAUCCGGGACGAUAAUGACGGUACCGGAGGAAUAAGCCCCGGCUAACUUCGUG